RNAcentral lists this ribosomal RNA (465 nucleotides) under uncultured bacterium. Its description in RNAcentral is "partial 16S ribosomal RNA". It matches the Rfam family "Bacterial small subunit ribosomal RNA", at positions 28 to 507 of the family's 1533-position model. The record is from RNAcentral.
GACGAACGCUGGCGGCGUGCUUAACACAUGCAAGUCGAACGGAAAGGCCCUGCUUGCAGGGUACUCGAGUGGCGAACGGGUGAGUAACACGUGGGUGAUCUGCCCUGCACUUCGGGAUAAGCCUGGGAAACUGGGUCUAAUACCGGAUAGGAGCCAUUUUUAGUGUGAUGGUUGGAAAGUUUUUUCGGUGUAGGAUGAGCUCGCGGCCUAUCAGCUUGUUGGUGGGGUAAUGGCCUACCAAGGCGGCGACGGGUAGCCGGCCUGAGAGGGUGGACGGCCACAUUGGGACUGAGAUACGGCCCAGACUCCUACGGGAGGCAGCAGUGGGGAAUAUUGCACAAUGGGCGCAAGCCUGAUGCAGCAACGCCGCGUGGGGGAUGACGGCCUUCGGGUUGUAAACUCCUUUCGCUAGGGACGAAGCUUUUUGUGACGGUACCUAGAUAAGAAGCACCGGCUAACUACGUG